UCAGACGAUGCGUCAUGCAUAUCAAUAAGCGGAGGAAAAGAAACUAACAAGGAUUCCCUUGGUAACGGCGAGUGAAGCGGGAAGAGCUCAAAUUUGAAAUCUUCAAGGUUUUACCUUGACGAAUUGUAGUUUAAAGAAGUGUUUUCUGCUGAAGUUUUGGUAAAAGUUCUUUGGAAUAGGACAUCAUAGAGGGUGAGAAUCCCGUAUUUGACCAUUAUUUUCAACUUUGUGAUACACUUUCAAAGAGUCGGAUUGUUUGGGAAUGCAGUCCAAAAUGGGUGGUAAAUUUCAUCUAAAGCUAAAUAUUGGCGAGAGACCGAUAGCGAACAAGUACCGUGAGGGAAAGAUGAAAAGAACUUUGAAAAGAGAGUUAAACAGUACGUGAAAUUGUCAAAAGGGAAGCGUUUGACACCAGUGUUGUUUUCUCGAAAAUCAAUUAAAAAUGGCUCGAUUUUGUAUUGUUUGAGACCUUAAAAGCUCACUGUACAUUUUUCGUGUCUUUUUUAAUGCACUUUUCGUUUAACAAGUCAACAUCAGUUUCUUUUGUUGUAAAAGGGUCAUUGGAAGGUGGCUUUCUUUUCGGAGAAAGUGUUUAUAGCCUUUGGCCUCUGCAAUCGGAGAGACUGAGGUCUGCAGCGUAGACUCUUCGGGGUUAGAUACAUUUGUGCUAAGUUAUAGCUUUUUAUAGACAACUUGUUGACUAUAAUUAGUCUUGUAGCUUACUCGCUUAUGCUAUUUUACCUACGCUUAGGAUGUUGACUGAUAUGUAGUCGUA
RNAcentral lists this ribosomal RNA (775 nucleotides) under uncultured Neocallimastigales. RNAcentral describes it as "partial large subunit ribosomal RNA". It matches the Rfam family "Eukaryotic large subunit ribosomal RNA", at positions 18 to 644 of the family's 3401-position model. Lineage: Eukaryota; Fungi; Neocallimastigomycota; Neocallimastigomycetes; Neocallimastigales. The record is from RNAcentral.